This is a long non-coding RNA of Diachasma alloeum, 625 nucleotides long. RefSeq lists it as uncharacterized. NCBI's taxonomy places the organism in Eukaryota, Metazoa, Arthropoda, Insecta, Hymenoptera, Braconidae. The transcript is spliced from 2 exons. The record is from RefSeq and is a predicted model, not a curated record.
AGCUGGUAAUUCGCCAUGGAGCCAGCACUAUAAGUGCUCGUACAUACAGUUUUCUCAAGAAAAUAAUACGGGGCCGUUCGUGCCGAUAAAAAAAACACAAAAAUUCGCGCGUAUAUGUUAUUCAUCCGUGUGAAUCCAUCGAAUAAAAGUGAGUGAUUCAUUUUCCAGUGGAGUGAAAUUUAGUGACAAAUUUUGUUACGCGCACGUGCCCAAGUUUGGUUUUAUUCGCCCUGAUUUUCUUCACAAUUUUUUGAUGGGCUAUUAGUUUGUCUUUGGAAGGAUACACCGUUUACCUGCCUGCCUUCGAAGCCUGGGAGAAAAUCAUUUUGGUACGUACCGAUGGGGAAACUAUCAGAAAUGACCCCAAACUCUAGACGUUGAAAAGCCAGUGGAAAUGGAGUAGUGCGUCGAGGUCAUCCAGCAAAAAUAAAACAAGCUCACCAGGAUCGAUUGCAUUCCAUAGUGUUGUCUCUGCAGACGUUUAAAUAACCUAGUUGCUGAUCCACGAGUCCACAUAGCCGCAUUGGACGUCGUGUGUUCUAGAGAGCAUUCUGGGCUAUGUCGUGGUGAAUGCUCAUUUUCUGUUUAACAACUUUUCAUUAAAAUUUUCUUGUCUACUUUCUGA